GACGAACGCUGGCGGCGUGCCUAAUACAUGCAAGUAGAACGCUGAAGGAGGAGCUUGCUUCUCUGGAUGAGUUGCGAACGGGUGAGUAACGCGUAGGUAACCUGCCCGGCAGCGGGGGAUAACCAUUGGAAACGAUAGCUAAUACCGCAUAAUAUCGACUAUUGCAUGAUAGUCAGUUGAAAGGUGCAACUGCACCACUACCAGAUGGUCCUGCGUUGUAUUGGCUUGUUGGUGGGGUAACGGCUCACCAAGGUGACGGAACUUAGCCGACCGGCGGGGAUGAGCAGCCAGACUGGGAGUGAGGCACGGCACAUAGUGCUACAGGAAGCAGCAGGAGGGAAACUUGAGGAAGGGGCGGAAGUCUGAGCGAGCAAGGCCGCGUGCGUGAAGAAGGUUUUCGGGUCGGGAAGCUCUGUUGUAGGGGAAGAACGAGUGUGAGAGUGGAAAGCUCACACUGUGACGGUAGCUUACCAGAAAGCGACGGCUAACUACGUG
Molecule: ribosomal RNA, 495 nt
Filed under: uncultured bacterium
Lineage: Bacteria
Description: partial 16S ribosomal RNA
Rfam family: Bacterial small subunit ribosomal RNA
Source: RNAcentral